This 400-nucleotide ribosomal RNA is filed under the name uncultured bacterium. RNAcentral describes it as "bacterial SSU rRNA". It matches the Rfam family "Bacterial small subunit ribosomal RNA", at positions 355 to 772 of the family's 1533-position model. The record is from RNAcentral.
UGGGGAAUCUUGGACAAUGGGCGCAAGCCUGAUCCAGCCAUGCCGCGUGAGUGACGAAGGCCUUAGGGUUGUAAAGCUCUUUUAGCAGGGAAGAUAAUGACGGUACCUGCAGAAUAAGCCCCGGCUAACUUCGUGCCAGCAGCCGCGGUGAUACGAAGGGGGCUAGCGUUGUUCGGAAUUACUGGGCGUAAAGCGCACGUAGGCGGAUCAUUUAGUCAGGGGUGAAAUCCCGGGGCUCAACCUCGGAACUGCCUUUGAUACUGAUGGUCUCGAGUCCGGAAGAGGUGAGUGGAAUUCCUAGUGUAGAGGUGAAAUUCGUAGAUAUUAGGAAGAACACCAGUGGCGAAGGCGGCUCACUGGUCCGGUACUGACGCUGAGGUGCGAAAGCGUGGGGAGCAAA